CAAAUAACAUGUGGAGACCUGAUUGGCAACACCAGGUACAAUUUGGUAAUAUUCUCUGGAAAUGAUCCAACUCUAUAACGACAAUAUUUACUCUCUUUAGUUCUCUGGAAGUGACCUGGAUUUCAAUAACUGUAAUAAGCCAAGAACCAGCCCCCCUUUCUCUCAUCCAGCGUGUCUCAAUCCUAUAAAAGCAGAACUAUCCCUCCACUCUGUACUACAACACCUGUUCACUAUUACCUUCAAGAGCUCCACUGCACCAAGGAAGAACACAGACACAGCAGUAAUGGAUAGGUGUAUACCACACUGUGGGGACAAAAACAAAGGUAGUUCCAUUGGCAACGUACAUGGAGGUGGAGGCAAUGCGAACAUUGGCAAUGCAUCAGGAGGUGGAGGAAGUCACAUUGGCAACGUACACGGUGGUGGAGGCAAUGCGAACAUUGGCAAUGCAUCAGGAGGUGGAGGAAGUCACAUUGGCGACGUACACGGUGGUGGAGGCAACACCAACAUUGGCAAUGUAUCAGGAGGUGGAGGAAGUCACAUUGGCGACGUACACGGUGGUGGAGGCAACAAGGACAUUGGCAAUGUAUCAGGAGGUGGAGGAAGUCACAUUGGCAACAUAGAUGGGGGUGGAGGCAACACCGGCAUUGGCAACGUUGGAAAAUAAUCUGGAUGCCAUUAGGGCCGCUUCACCAAAAGCCUGUCAACAUCCCUGCUCACUCUGGGUUGAAGAUUAUGAAAACUGGGUGCAUAUUCAUGUUCUUAGUUCUAUCAGAUUCACUCUAGGAGUAUGGUUUUAAUCAGCAUUGUAACCGUUCUUGUUUU
Esox lucius (northern pike) is the source of this 822-nucleotide long non-coding RNA. NCBI's taxonomy places the organism in Eukaryota, Metazoa, Chordata, Actinopteri, Esociformes, Esocidae. The record is from Ensembl.